This 431-nucleotide ribosomal RNA is filed under the name uncultured bacterium. RNAcentral describes it as "bacterial SSU rRNA". It matches the Rfam family "Bacterial small subunit ribosomal RNA", at positions 936 to 1349 of the family's 1533-position model. The record is from RNAcentral.
CGCCCGCCGCGCCCCGCGCCCGUCCCGCCGCCCCCGCCCGAACGCGAAGAACCUUACCUACUCUUGACAUCCUGCGAGCUUGGUAGAGAUACCUUGGUGCCUUCGGGAACGCAGUGACAGGUGCUGCAUGGCUGUCGUCAGCUCGUGUUGUGAAAUGUUGGGUUAAGUCCCGUAACGAGCGCAACCCCUAUCCUUAUUUGCCAGCACUUCGGGUGGGAACUCUAAGGAGACUGCCGGUGACAAACCGGAGGAAGGUGGGGAUGACGUCAAGUCAUCAUGGCCCUUACGAGUAGGGCUACACACGUGCUACAAUGGCCGGUACAGAGGGCCGCGAACUUGCGAGGGUAAGCUAAUCUCAGAAAACCGGUCGUAGUCCGGAUCGCAGUCUGCAACUCGACUGCGUGAAGUCGGAAUCGCUAGUAAUCGCGAAU